UUUAAUUCGAUGCAACGCGAAGAACCUUACCUACUCUUGACAUCCAGAGAAUUCGCUAGAGAUAGCUUAGUGCCUUCGGGAACUCUGAGACAGGUGCUGCAUGGCUGUCGUCAGCUCGUGUUGUGAAAUGUUGGGUUAAGUCCCGCAACGAGCGCAACCCUUAUCCUUUGUUGCCAGCACGUAAUGGUGGGAACUCAAAGGAGACUGCCGGUGAUAAACCGGAGGAAGGUGGGGAUGACGUCAAGUCAUCAUGGCCCUUAUGAGUAGGGCUACACACGUGCUACAAUGGCGUAUACAAAGAGAAGCGAACUCGCGAGAGCCAGCGGACCUCAUAAAGUACGUCGUAGUCCGGAUCGGAGUCUGCAACUCGACUCCGUGAAGUCGGAAUCGCUAGUAAUCGUAGAUCAGAAUGCUACGGUGAAUACGUUCCCGGGCCUUGUACACACCGCC
RNAcentral lists this ribosomal RNA (450 nucleotides) under uncultured Gammaproteobacteria bacterium. RNAcentral's name for it is "bacterial SSU rRNA". It matches the Rfam family "Bacterial small subunit ribosomal RNA", at positions 945 to 1394 of the family's 1533-position model. The record is from RNAcentral. Lineage: Bacteria; Pseudomonadati; Pseudomonadota; Gammaproteobacteria.